AGUGAACGCUGGCGGUAGGCCUAACACAUGCAAGUCGAACGGCAGCACAGUAAGAGCUUGCUCUUACGGGUGGCGAGUGGCGGACGGGUGAGGAAUACAUCGGAAUCUACUUUUUCGUGCGGGAUAACGUAGGGAAACUUACGCUAAUACCGCAUACGACCUACGGUUGAAAGCAGGGGAUCUUCGGACCUUUCGCGAUUGAAUGAGCCGAUGUCGGAUCAGCUAGUUGGCGGGGUAAAGGCCCACCAAGGCGACGAUCCGUAGCUGGUCUGAGAGGAUGAUCAGCCACACUGGAACUGAGACACGGUCCAGACUCCUACGGGAGGCAGCAGUGGGGAAUAUUGGACAAUGGGCGCAAGCCUGAUCCAGCCAUACCGCGUGGGUGAAGAAGGCCUUCGGGUUGUAAAGCCCUUUUGUUGGGAAAGAAAAGCAGCAGGUUAAUACCCCGCUGUUCUGACGGUACCCAAAGAAUAAGCACCGGCUAACUUCGUG
RNAcentral lists this ribosomal RNA (492 nucleotides) under uncultured bacterium. RNAcentral's name for it is "partial 16S ribosomal RNA". It matches the Rfam family "Bacterial small subunit ribosomal RNA", at positions 29 to 507 of the family's 1533-position model. The record is from RNAcentral.